UGGGGUAUUAAUAUUGGAGGAAGCCAGGAAGCUCAGCGGUGUGUUUACUGCUGCGGACAAUUUUGCCUCGAAUAGGGAAGGAAACAGAAGCGAAUAAUGGUCUGACUGCUAAUUAAAGCUACCAUCUAUGUGGUGAGGAGGAUCCGGGCUUCCAUUGCUGAGGGAGAGCAGCUGGAAAAGCCCAUCAUCACACCAUGUAGUGCAAUAGGUAGGACAGUAACAACAGCAGCUACUGCAACUUGGACAAGGAACACCUAAAGGGAAAUAGUAGAGCGUUAUUAGAACUGUGGAAUUCUCUUAAAUUAGCAGCUAUCUUACCUUUUGCAGGACAGUCUGCUUCCUGGUUAGUCUUCGGAGAAUGUCAGACUUUUGUUAAAUGUUGACAGAACUGUGCCCUUAUUACUAUUUAACAUUUUAGUGAGUCUGUACUUUCCAAAAAUCAUGAUUUUGUGAUAUUAUAUAUAUGUAUUCAACAAGCAUCUAACACUUUUAGUACAUUGACCUGCUCUGAUGUCAGUGGUCCCGCUUUAGCUAAGCAUUAUGUCAUGAAGCAUGUUUAUAAGAUUAGAGGUAUUAGAGGUAAAGACGGAGUGUCCACGUAAGAUCAUUAUAGUGUACAUGUCACCGACCCCCAUGCAUUUCUCUUUUCUACUCAGCUGACAUGAGGGCGGGUGGCAAGUCUAGUGGAAACGGCCUACCUGCUGCACUAAACUCAGGACCUGAUGAAGGUGCUGGUGGAGCAGCAGGCUCGGGGACGUCCUCGGAGACAGCCGUGCAGAAAUGUGGCUCCUGACGUUAAAGAUCAGGCUGGACACUGGGACUGUGGUCAACUCGGUGGCACAAUUUAAUUUGUUUUAUGUGCAUUUUUGCAGCACAGGACAGCAUAAUGGUGUCAAUACAAAAAUAUCUAAACUAAGUUAUGUAAUAUGAAGUCAUUAUUUACGUUACUGUGUCUGUGUUGUUCCCAGUAUCCAAUGUCCAGCUCAGGGUGACUCACAUGUUGGCCUUUUUCACAGCGGACAUUUUGACUUCCCACCACCGCAGCAAAAAAAGGUGCAACUAAUAACAAUAAGUAGUGAAUCUUCUGCAUUUGAUUUUGCUGGUGAGCUGCCACGCAAAAUGCUACAGGGCCUUGCUUUUAUAUGUAAAAAUCUAGUGAAGACAUCUAUGCCAUUAAGUGUGUGUGAUUUAGUCAACAUGUAUUCUGUGAGAAAGGCCUGAAUUUAUGUGCUGCAGCAUUUGAAGGUCCGCUCACCAACCUCUCUCCAGGGGCUGAGCAGGUCUGAUGUUUCUGUCGGUACAUCAAUAAAUUUUAAGAAAAUA
Molecule: long non-coding RNA, 1323 nt
Organism: Amphiprion ocellaris (clown anemonefish)
Lineage: Eukaryota; Metazoa; Chordata; Actinopteri; Pomacentridae
Source: Ensembl